GCCAGCAAGACAUAGUGGUUUGAGUGCUAGGCUACAACUUUGGAGACCAGGGUUCGAUUCCCAGGUUGGCC
Phrynosoma platyrhinos (Desert horned lizard) is the source of this 71-nucleotide non-coding RNA. Lineage: Eukaryota; Metazoa; Chordata; Lepidosauria; Squamata; Phrynosomatidae. The record is from the annotation of a GenBank genome assembly.